Molecule: ribosomal RNA, 242 nt
Filed under: uncultured bacterium
Lineage: Bacteria
Description: partial 16S ribosomal RNA
Rfam family: Bacterial small subunit ribosomal RNA
Source: RNAcentral
GAUCAUGGCUCAGGAUGAACGCUAGCUACAGGCUUAACACAUGCAAGUCGAGGGGCAUCAGUUUGGUUUGCUUGCAAACCAAAGCUGGCGACCGGCGCACGGUGAGUAACACGUAUCCAACCUGCCUCAUACGUCGGGGAUAGCCUUUCGAAAGAAAGAUUAAUAUCCGAUAGCAUAUAUUUCCCGCAUUGGGUUUUUAUAUUAAAGAAAUUCGGUAUGAGAUGGGGAUGCGUUCCAUUUAG